Molecule: long non-coding RNA, 3406 nt
Organism: Odontomachus brunneus
Lineage: Eukaryota; Metazoa; Arthropoda; Insecta; Hymenoptera; Formicidae
Exons: 3
Source: RefSeq, a predicted model, not a curated record
GUUCCAUCGCGCGCGCGGCUGGCGAGACGCUUCCUCCUCGCGAUUAGUUUGUUUAAUAAUGACAUUCACGUAUUCGUGAGCGAUCUUGCGUGUCAGAAGAAGAGGCAGUUCCUCGUUCUGCGUAAUCCCGGUGGAAAUGUGGUGGCAGGCCUCCGACGAAGACUUUCCUGGAGAAACGUUCGCCAGUUUCGCUGCCCUGGCUGUGUGGACUGCUCCGGCUCGGCGAUGAGAGCGGCGCAGCUUGGGACGCGGGGAUGCCGCCACCCACACCGACGCCGACGCUGACUCCGACGCCGACUCCGACACCGUCUAGCUGGCUCGGCGCAUUCGGGUCUUCCAGCAAGGUAGCGCUCUGAUCCUCGAGACUCGGGAAGAACGGAGAUUUACCUGUGAAUACACAACAACAUUGUUCCACGACACAUCGGAAUGCCUAAAAGAUUGAAACGACUCACCAGAAGGAGCCGAACCCGACGAGGAUCUUUAUCCUCGCGAGACCACACACGUGCUCCAGGCACAUACAUUGCGGCAGACACGUCGCUGACGUGCCUAUUCUUAUACGGUAAAAGUAGUUCACGAUGUAGAUUGUGCCACGUGAUCGGCGACACGAAUAGGACGCGCAGUAAUUGCCUUUAAUUGCGUCGCGGUACGAUAAAGCCGGGUUAUUAUCGUCGAUUUUAAUUGGCCGAAGGAUCGCUUUUGCCGUCCUUCGAGAAGCGGGUUAAUCGCGUCUCCUAGAGAGAUAGAGAGAAAGAGAGAGCGAGAGUAGAGAAGAGAAAAGGGCUCACAGUUAUAAUUUGAUUUCCUUUCCGGUUGAGACUGGCUCUAUUAAGGAUGCCUCACGCAGAGAGGUAUUCGAUCGAUUAUUCCACUGCGUUUAAAUCGCGCACCGAUAAUUAUUAUUAGUCGUAUCGUGUAUAUACGAGACGGUCGACAGGAAAUUCUCGUUAAUCUCAAACGAGAGACUCGCGCGAGACUCGCCGUCCUAUUGAAAUUGAUUUCGCACUUGAGAAGAGAUUAGAUUUGAUACUUAUUCGCGUGCAAUCUUGAACAAAUACUUCUCUAAGAUGUCUUUCCACAUCUCUUUGCCACAUCACCGACGUGAUUAUCUGUCUCUAUCUUUCGCAUCGCCGGUGCAAUUAUUACAUCUGUAUGAGCGCGGAUCCGUUGUUCCAGAGGGAAGCGUCAGUCGCGAAUCUGAGAUCAAUUAAUUCGUGUUAUACUUAGCAAUUUCCGCUAGCCGGUAAGAUCGUGCUCGAGCCGGUCGACGAGUCUUCUGCCGAGUUAGGCACGCAUGACGUACGGCAUUCACGUUUCGUCUAUCAAAGCUAAAUCCGGAACAGUUGAUCUUACGAGUGCCACGUCGAGUCUCCACUACGCGCGCUAACUCCGCUCUGCAACUACCAAUACUACUACACCAUUACGAUCAUUACUCGGCCGCAAUAACCGCGGCACGAAAUACCGUGGAAAUUCGUGACGUUAUUCACGCGAUGCGCCAUGGCGUUAACGUUUUCGGAACUCGAUCUCUCGAGCUGCCGGCUAACACUUACUCGAGUCGCGCGCGUGCUCGCGAGUUUCGCUUCGACAGGUAAUUACGAUUUGACGUUUGGAUUGCAAUUUCGAUGUAACAGACACGCGCAAUUUAGAGAGAGAGAAAUUCGACACGGCACGAGAAUGAAUCUUAGGUAUACACAGAAAGAAAAGAAUACAUAUCGCGUUUAAGUAAAUGUUUCUCGAUUCAAAUAUUUCAUAAGUUUCUCUUCUUAUCUCCGCAAAUUUAUCAUCAAUUCUCAUUAUCGUCACAUUUAUUCAAAAUACAUUCUGAAUCCUAGUAAAUUUAGCAUUCAAUCGAGCAUGUUCAAUUGAAGGAAAAAUUUUAUUUGCUUGCUCUGCACAGAGUCAAACUAACUUUUAUUUUGACAAAGUUUUCUGAUAUUCCCGUAAAGAGAACAAAUUCUUCUUUUGAGCGUAUGGUAAUGAGUUUUCCUUAAAUUUGUGAUGAGUGUAUUGAGAAAAAUAUUUGAAAAUUUAUUUAUUUCGUAGAAAUAAAUUUUGUUUCUAAGAAAUAAAAUAGACUAUAUCUCACAAAUAAAUGUUCAAGUAUUUUUUUUCUAAGUGUAUACUUGAAGACUAUAGUCAAGAAAAUAUUCUCUUUUGAAGACAACCUUUGCUUGAAAGAUGGAAGAUGAACUAAGUAAUCGCUUUUCUUAGCAAUGAAAUCUUUUCCCGCAUGUAGAGAAUAAAACACAUGAUACACGUGAGCGCGAAGGAGGAUAUUAAGCGCGCCGGGAAAUAUUUCGCCGCGGCAAAGCGUGAAAUGAGAUAGAUAGAAAUUUAAUGAAUUUUUUUCGUCAAAUUUUUUCCAACGGGAAAAACCGAUCGCGACGAUAAAAGUGCACGUCAUCGAUAGGCGGACGGCGUAACAAGGCAACGCACGGGUGCGCGAAUGAAUCAUUGGUUGCGGCAGUAUCUCUAUACUUCUCCUUUGCUUCCUUCUUUUUUCACGAGCCGCCCGUUCAGUGCUGAAUUCAAGACAAAUAGAUAGCCACCUAAUUGUGCAAGGAAAUGACAGCGGAUUGCGCGAGAAACCGCGCCAAGGAUGCGCGGCGCGAAUGUGGGACAAGGGAAACCUCGUACCUUGACUUCGCGAGCAACGGUUGCACAACGGCGGAUCACAAUUUGUGAUCGAAGUGGUAAAGUCACCGCGCUGCGGCUCCCCGCGGGUGUCUGGCGACACUAAUAAGCAUGAAAUUCGCCACUCGGAAGUACUCGCCUUAAACUGUCCACUCGACGGCGCUGUUUACAACGUAUCAGGCAUCUGCUGGAUACUCGUGCCGAGUGUGUACUGACGAGCAUGUUCUCGAUGACGGGGCCCAACGCGCGACGGCGUUUUAUCGUUAUUACGGCUGGCCGGCCGAGUGACCGAUCCACGAGCGCAAAUAACGCGGAUAUGAUCAAAUCCGCGAGCGCAAAUAACAGGGACGCGCGCACUGGUGCCUAAUUUGUGUGCGCAAAUUGAUCGCGGGGGACAGUAACAUCCGGCCAGCUAAAUGCAGAGUGGACGCGCGAGCGAUGUGUGCUCGCAUUGAGCGAAUAAAACGUUUGCUAUUUGUAACUAUAAUCACAUAAAGAAAUGAUUACUAUAAAUUAUGAUUAAGAGAAAACCAUUCUUUCCUAUUAAGUUCUGCUGUACACUGAGAAGAAUUAUCAGAUAAAAAAUUAACAAACGGAGAUUUCCGGUUUGUUUGCUGCAUAAAGCUGAGCCAAUCUUUUCUUGCAUGCAAAAAAAAUUUCAGUUGGUGCAAUCAAAUAGGAACCAACUGAAAAUUAGGUGAUCAGAAGCUACACCUCUGUUAUGAAAACUAAUAUUUCGCAACCGAAAAUAUUCUGAACAUUCGACGAUAUUAGA